GGCGGAUUAUCAAGUCUCUUGUGAAAUCUAAUGGCUUAACCCAUUAAACUGCUUGGGAAACUGAUAGUCUAGAGUGAGGGAGAGGCAGAUGGAAUUGGUGGUGUAGGGGUAAAAUCCGUAGAUAUCACCAAGAAUACCCAUUGCGAAGGCGAUCUGCUGGAACUCAACUGACGCUAAGGCGCGAAAGCGUGGGGAGCAAACAGGAUUAGAUACCCUGGUAGUCCACGCCCUAAACGAUGUACACUAGUUGUUGGGAUGCUAGUCAUCUCAGUAAUGCAGCUAACGCAUUAAGUGUACCGCCUGGGGAGUACGGUCGCAAGAUUAAAACUCAAAGGAAUAGACGGGGACCCGCACAAGCGGUGGAGCAUGUGGUUUAAUUCGAAGAUACGCGAAGAACCUUACCUGGGCUUGAUAUCCUAAGAACCUUAUAGAGAUAUGAGGGUGCUAGCUUGCUAGAACUUAGAGACAGGUGCUGCACGGCUGUCGUCAGCUCGUGUCGUGAGAUGUUGGGUUAAGUCCCGCAACGAGCGCAACCCACGUAUUUAGUUGCUAACGGUUCGGCCGAGCACUCUAAAUAGACUGCCUUCGUAAGGAGGAGGAAGGUGUGGACGACGUCAAGUCAUCAUGGCCCUUAUGCCCAGGGCGACACACGUGCUACAAUGGCAUAUACAAUGAGACGCAAUACCGCGAGGUGGAGCAAAUCUAUAAAAUAUGUCCCAGUUCGGAUUGUUCUCUGCAACUCGAGAGCAUGAAGCCGGAAUCGCUAGUAAUCGUAGAUCAGCCAUGCUACGGUGAAUACGUUCCCGGGUCUUGUACUCACCGCCCGUCACACCAUGGGAGUUGAUUUCACUCGAAGCCGGAAUACUAAACUAG
This 873-nucleotide ribosomal RNA is filed under the name Campylobacter jejuni. Its description in RNAcentral is "bacterial SSU rRNA". It matches the Rfam family "Bacterial small subunit ribosomal RNA", at positions 574 to 1443 of the family's 1533-position model. Lineage: Bacteria; Pseudomonadati; Campylobacterota; Epsilonproteobacteria; Campylobacterales; Campylobacteraceae. The record is from RNAcentral.